CCAGACUCCUACGGGAGGCAGCAGUGGGGAAUAUUGCACAAUGGGGGAAACCCUGAUGCAGCAACGCCGCGUGGGUGAAGGAGCGUUUCGGCGCGUAAAGCCCUGUCAGCGGGGAAGAAGAAAGACGGUACCCGACCAAGAAGCCCCGGCUAACUACGUGCCAGCAGCCGCGGUAAUACGUAGGGGGCGAGCGUUAUCCGGAAUUACUGGGUGUAAAGGGAGCGUAGACGGCCAUGCAAGCUCGGUGUGAAAGGUGCGGGCACAACCCGCAGACUGCACUGAGAACUGUAUGGCUGGAGUGCCGGAGGGGCAGGCGGAAUUCCUGGUGUAGCGGUGAAAUGCGUAGAUAUCAGGAGGAACACCAGUGGCGAAGGCGGCUUACUGGACAGUAACUGACGUUGAGGCUCGAAAGCGUGGGGAGCAAACAGGAUUAGAUACCCCUGUA
Molecule: ribosomal RNA, 445 nt
Filed under: uncultured bacterium
Lineage: Bacteria
Description: bacterial SSU rRNA
Rfam family: Bacterial small subunit ribosomal RNA
Source: RNAcentral